CCUACGGGCGAGCAGCAGUGAGGAAUAUUGGUCAAUGGGCGCGAGCCUGAACCAGCCAAGUAGCGUGAAGGAUGACUGCCCUACGGGUUGUAAACUUCUUUUAUAAAGGAAUAAAGUGAGGCACGUGUGCCUAGUUGUAUGUACUUUAUGAAUACGGAACGGCUAACUCCGUGCCAGCAGCCGCGGUAAGAAGGAGGAUCCGUGCGUUAUCCGGAUUUAUAGGGUUUAAUGGGAGCGUAGAUGGGUUGUUAAGUCAGUGGUGAAAGUUUGCGGCUCAACCGUAAAAUGGCAAUUGAUACUGGCAGCCUUGAGUACAGUUGAGGUAGGCGGAAUUCGUGGUGUAGCGGUGAAAUGCUUAGAUAUCACGAAGAACACCGAUUGCGAAGGCAGCUUACUAAACUGCCACUGACAUUGAUGCUCGAAAGUGUGGGUAUCAAACAGGAUUAGAUACCCCUGUAGUC
RNAcentral lists this ribosomal RNA (461 nucleotides) under uncultured bacterium. Its description in RNAcentral is "partial 16S ribosomal RNA". It matches the Rfam family "Bacterial small subunit ribosomal RNA", at positions 338 to 795 of the family's 1533-position model. The record is from RNAcentral.